RNAcentral lists this ribosomal RNA (424 nucleotides) under uncultured bacterium. Its description in RNAcentral is "partial 16S ribosomal RNA". It matches the Rfam family "Bacterial small subunit ribosomal RNA", at positions 360 to 776 of the family's 1533-position model. The record is from RNAcentral.
AAUAUUGGACAAUGGGCGAAAGUCUGAUCCAGCCAUGCCGCGUGUGUGAAGAAGGUCUUCGGAUUGUAAAGCUCUUUAAGUUGGGGGGAAGGGAAGUAAGUUUAUACCUUGUUGUUUUGACGUUACCGAAAGAAUAAGCACCGGCUAACGUCGUCCUCGCCGCAGCGGUAAUACGAAGGGUGCAAUCGUUAAUCGGAAUUACUGGGCGUAAAGCGCGCGUAGGUGGUUUGAUGAGUUUGAUGUGAAAGCCCCGGGCUCAACCUAGAAAUUGCAUCCAAAACUGUCUGGCUAGAGUAUGGCCGAGGGUGGUGGAAUUUCCUGUGUAGCGGUGAAAUGCGUAGAUAUAGGAAGGAACACCAGUGGCGAAGGCGACCACCUGGGCUAAUACUGACACUGAGGUGCGAAAGCGUGGGGAGCAAACAGG